GAUUGAACGCUGGCGGCAUGCCUUACACAUGCAAGUCGAACGGCAGCACGGGUGCUUGCACCUGGUGGCGAGUGGCGAACGGGUGAGUAAUACAUCGGAACAUGUCCUGUAGUGGGGGAUAGCCCGGCGAAAGCCGGAUUAAUACCGCAUACGAUCUACGGAUGAAAGCGGGGGACCUUCGGGCCUCGCGCUAUAGGGUUGGCCGAUGGCUGAUUAGCUAGUUGGUGGGGUAAAGGCCUACCAAGGCGACGAUCAGUAGCUGGUCUGAGAGGACGACCAGCCACACUGGGACUGAGACACGGCCCAGACUCCUACGGGAGGCAGCAGUGGGGAAUUUUGGACAAUGGGCGAAAGCCUGAUCCAGCAAUGCCGCGUGUGUGAAGAAGGCCUUCGGGUUGUAAAGCACUUUUGUCCGGAAAGAAAUCCUUGGCUCUAAUACAGUCGGGGGAUGACGGUACCGGAAGAAUAAGCACCGGCUAACUACGUGCCAGCAGCCGCGGUAAUACGUAGGGUGCGAGCGUUAAUCGGAAUUACUGGGCGUAAAGCGUGCGCAGGCGGUUUGCUAAGACCGAUGUGAAAUCCCCGGGCUCAACCUGGGAACUGCAUUGGUGACUGGCAGGCUAGAGUAUGGCAGAGGGGGGGUAGAAUUCCACGUGUAGCAGUGAAAUGCGUAGAGAUGUGGAGGAAUACCGAUGGCGAAGGCAGCCCCCUGGGCCCAAUACUGACGCUCAUGCACGAAAGCGUGGGGGAGCAAACAGGAUUAGAUACCCUGGUAGUCCACGCCCUAAACGAUGUCAACUAGUUGUUGGGGAUUCAUUUCCUUAGUAACGUAGCUAACGCGUGAAGUUGACCGCCUGGGGAGUACGGUCGCAAGAUUAAAACUCAAAGGAAUUGACGGGGACCCGCACAAGCGGUGGAUGAUGUGGAUUAAUUCGAUGCAACGCGAAAAACCUUACCUACCCUUGACAUGGUCGGAAUCCCGCUGAGAGGUGGGAGUGCUCGAAAGAGAACCGGCGCACAGGUGCUGCAUGGCUGUCGUCAGCUCGUGUCGUGAGAUGUUGGGUUAAGUCCCGCAACGAGCGCAACCCUUGUCCUUAGUUGCUACGCAAGAGCACUCUAAGGAGACUGCCGGUGACAAACCGGAGGAAGGUGGGGAUGACGUCAAGUCCUCAUGGCCCUUAUGGGUAGGGCUUCACACGUCAUACAAUGGUCGGAACAGAGGGUUGCCAACCCGCGAGGGGGAGCUAAUCCCAGAAAACCGAUCGUAGUCCGGAUUGCACUCUGCAACUCGAGUGCAUGAAGCUGGAAUCGCUAGUAAUCGCGGAUCAGCAUGCCGCGGUGAAUACGUUCCCGGGUCUUGUACACACCGCCC
RNAcentral lists this ribosomal RNA (1372 nucleotides) under uncultured beta proteobacterium. RNAcentral's name for it is "bacterial SSU rRNA". It matches the Rfam family "Bacterial small subunit ribosomal RNA", at positions 27 to 1395 of the family's 1533-position model. Lineage: Bacteria; Pseudomonadati; Pseudomonadota; Betaproteobacteria. The record is from RNAcentral.